UACGUAGGGCGCAAGCGUUAUCCGGAAUUAUUGGGCGUAAAGAGCUCGUAGGCGGUUUGUCGCGUCUGCCGUGAAAGUCCGGGGCUCAACUCCGGAUCUGCGGUGGGUACGGGCAGACUAGGGUGAUGUAGGGGAGACUGGAAUUCCUGGUGUAGCGGUGAAAUGCGCAGAUAUCAGGAGGAACACCGAUGGCGAAGGCAGGUCUCUGGGCAUUAACUGACGCUGAGGAGCGAAAGCAUGGGGAGCGAACAGG
Molecule: ribosomal RNA, 253 nt
Filed under: uncultured bacterium
Lineage: Bacteria
Description: partial 16S ribosomal RNA
Rfam family: Bacterial small subunit ribosomal RNA
Source: RNAcentral